AUACGGAGGAUGCAAGCGUUAUCCGGAUUUAUUGGGUUUAAAGGGUGCGUAGGCGGUUUGCUAAGCGGGAGGUGAAAUGCCGGCGCUCAACGUCGGAAGUGCCUCCCGAACUGGUGGACUUGAAUGACUCUGCCGUGGGAGGAAUGUGUAGUGUAGCGGUGAAAUGCUUAGAGAUUACACAGAACACCGAUUGCGAAGGCAUCUCACGAAGGGUUGAUUGACGCUGAGGCACGAAAGCGUGGGGAUCAAACAGGAUUAGAUACCCUGGUAGUCCACGCAGUAAACGAUGAUGACUAACUGCCGGCCCGUUGCGGGUCGGUGGCCAAGCGAAAGCGAUAAGUCAUCCACCUGGGGAGUACGACCGCAAGGUUGAAACUCAAAUGAAUUGACGGGG
This 394-nucleotide ribosomal RNA is filed under the name uncultured bacterium. RNAcentral describes it as "partial 16S ribosomal RNA". It matches the Rfam family "Bacterial small subunit ribosomal RNA", at positions 523 to 918 of the family's 1533-position model. The record is from RNAcentral.